RNAcentral lists this ribosomal RNA (253 nucleotides) under uncultured bacterium. RNAcentral describes it as "partial 16S ribosomal RNA". It matches the Rfam family "Bacterial small subunit ribosomal RNA", at positions 524 to 776 of the family's 1533-position model. The record is from RNAcentral.
UACAGAGGUGGCAAGCGUUGUUCGGAAUUACUGGGCGUAAAGGGCGCGUAGGCGGCCAUCUAAGUCAGACGUGAAAUCCCCCGGCUUAACCUGGGAACUGCGUCUGAUACUGGACGGCUUGAGUAUGGGAGAGGGAUGCAGAAUUCCAGGUGUAGCGGUGAAAUGCGUAGAUAUCUGGAGGAAUACCGGUGGCGAAGGCGGCAUCCUGGACCAUUACUGACGCUGAGGCGCGAAAGCUAGGGGAGCAAACGGG